ACACGCAUGACACACUGCAUAUCAAUAAGCGGAGGAAAAGGAAACUAACUAAGGAUUCCCUCAGUAACGGCGAGUGAAGCGGGAAGAGCUCAAAUUUGAAAUCUUCAAGGUUCUACCUUGACGAAUUGUAGUUUAAAGAAGUGUUUUCUGUUGGAGUUUUGGUAAAAGUUCUUUGGAAUAGGACAUCAUAGAGGGUGAGAAUCCCGUAUUUGACCAGUUACUUUCCAAGCUGUGUGAUACACUUUCAAAGAGUCGGAUUGUUUGGGAAUGCAGUCCAAAAUGGGUGGUAAAUUUCAUCUAAAGCUAAAUACUGGCGAGAGACCGAUAGCGAACAAGUACCGUGAGGGAAAGAUGAAGAGAACUUUGAAAAGAGAGUUAAACAGUACGUGAAAUUGUCAAAAGGGAAGCGUUUGACACCAGUGUUGUUUUCUCGAAAAUCAAUUAAAAAGAGUUGGAUUUUGUAUUGUUAAGACCUUAUCAGCUUACUGUACCUUUUUCUUGCUCUUUUUAAUGCACUUUUCGUUUAACAAGUCAACAUCAAUUUCUUUUGUUGUAAAAGGGUCAUUGGAAGGUGGCUUCCACUUCGGUGAAAGUGUUUAUAGCCUUUGGCUUCUACAAUCGGAGAGAUUGAGGUCUGCAGCGUAGAUCCUUCGGGGUUAGAUACGUAGAUGCUAAGUUAUAGUUUUUUAUAGACAACUUGUUGACUAUGAUUAAUCAUGUAGCUUCUCGUUUACGCUAUUUUACCUACGCUUAGGAUGUUGAGCGCAUGUCUCUCUCU
RNAcentral lists this ribosomal RNA (778 nucleotides) under uncultured Neocallimastigales. RNAcentral describes it as "partial large subunit ribosomal RNA". It matches the Rfam family "Eukaryotic large subunit ribosomal RNA", at positions 23 to 616 of the family's 3401-position model. Lineage: Eukaryota; Fungi; Neocallimastigomycota; Neocallimastigomycetes; Neocallimastigales. The record is from RNAcentral.